This 30-nucleotide non-coding RNA is filed under the name Mus musculus (house mouse). Lineage: Eukaryota; Metazoa; Chordata; Mammalia; Rodentia; Muridae. The record is from RNAcentral.
UGGAAUUAAAGGUGUUCGCCACCAUCGCCC